This 462-nucleotide ribosomal RNA is filed under the name uncultured bacterium. RNAcentral describes it as "bacterial SSU rRNA". It matches the Rfam family "Bacterial small subunit ribosomal RNA", at positions 18 to 476 of the family's 1533-position model. The record is from RNAcentral.
CCUGGCUCAGAUUGAACGCUGGCGGCAUGCUUUACACAUGCAAGUCGAACGGCAGCACGGGUGCUUGCACCUGGUGGCGAGUGGCGGACGGGUGAGUAAUGCAUCGGAACGUGUCCUAAAGUGGGGGAUAACGCAUCGAAAGAUGUGCUAAUACCGCAUAUUCUCUGAGGAGGAAAGUAGGGGAUCGAAAGACCUUAUGCUUUUGGAGCGGCCGGUGUCUGAUUAGCUAGUUGGUAGGGUAAUGGCUUACCAAGGCGACGAUCAGUAGUUGGUCUGAGAGGACGACCAGCCACACUGGGACUGAGACACGGCCCAGACUCCUACGGGAGGCAGCAGUGGGGAAUUUUGGACAAUGGGCGCAAGCCUGAUCCAGCAAUGCCGCGUGAGUGAAGAAGGCCUCGGUUCGGUUAAGUACGUACUUUCUACGUUGUAGAAGAAAAGUAACGUAGACGUAAUAAUACU